This 1391-nucleotide ribosomal RNA is filed under the name metagenome. Its description in RNAcentral is "bacterial LSU rRNA". It matches the Rfam family "Bacterial large subunit ribosomal RNA", at positions 608 to 1986 of the family's 2925-position model. The record is from RNAcentral.
UUGUAUAAUGGGUCAGCGAGUUAUUGUUGCUAGCAAGGUUAACCGUCUAGGGGAGCCGUAGGGAAACCGAGUCUUAAUAGGGCGAUAGUUGGUAGCAAUAGACCCGAAACCAGUCGAUCUAUCCAUGACCAGGUUGAAGGAUGGGUAACACCAUCUGGAGGACCGAACCCACGCCUGUUGAAAAAGUCGGGGAUGAGUUGUGGAUCGGAGUGAAAGGCUAAUCAAGGCUGGAGAUAGCUGGUUCUCCUCGAAAGCUAUUUAGGUAGCGCCUCGUGAAUAUCCAUUGGGGGUAGAGCACUGUUUCGGCUAGGGGGUCAUCCCGACUUACCAACCCGAUGCAAACUCCGAAUACCGAUGAGACGAAUCACGGGAGACACACGGCGGGUGCUAACGUCCGUCGUGAAAAGGGACACAACCCAGACCGUCAGCUAAGGUCCCAAAUACCAGUUAAGUGGGAAACGAUGUGGGAAGGCAUAGACAGCUAGGAGGUUGGCUUAGAAGCAGCCAUCCUUUAAAGAAAGCGUAAUAGCUCACUAGUCGUGUCGGCCUGCGCGUAAGAUGUAACGGGGCUAAAACUGGUAACCGAAGCUACGGGUGCAUCGCAAGAUGCGCGGUAGAGGAGCGUUCUGUAAGCCGUUGAAGCUGCAUCGUAAGGUGUGGUGGAGGUAUCAGAAGUGCGAAUGCUGACAUGAGUAACGAUAAACGGGGUGAAAUACCCCGUCGCCGAAAGAUCAAGGUUUCCUGUCCAACGUUAAUCGGGACAGGGUGAGUCGGCCCCUAAGGCGAGGCGGAAACGCGUAGUCGAUGGCAAACCGGUUAAAAUUCCGGUACCGGCUUUUACUGCGAUGGAGAGACGGAGCAGGCUAGGUAGGCAGGGCGUUGGUUGUCCCUGUUUAAGCGAGUAGGGGGAGAUCUUAGGCAAAUCCGGGAUCUCACUACCCUGAGACGUAAUGACGAGUUGGCCCUUGUGGCCGACGAAGCUACUGAUGCCAUACUUCCAGGAAAAUCUUCUAAGCUUCAGGUAAAAGCAGACCGUACUGUAAACCGACACAGGUGAUCUGGUAGAGAAUACCAAGGCGCUUGAGAGAACUUGGGUGAAGGAACUAGGCAAAAUGGUACCGUAACUUCGGGAGAAGGUACGCUCCUCCACGUGAAGGACUUGCUCCGUAAGCGUAGGGGAGUCGAAGAAAUCAGGCAGCUGCAACUGUUUAUUAAAAACACAGCACUCUGCAAACACGUAAGUGGAAGUAUAGGGUGUGACGCCUGCCCGGUGCCGGAAGGUUAAUUGAUGGGGUCAGCGCAAGCGAAGCUCUUGAUCGAAGCCCCGGUAAACGGCGGCCGUAACUAUAACGGUCCUAAGGUAGCGAAAUUCCUUGUCGGGUAAGUUCCGG